UACGUAGGGUGCGAGCGUUGUCCGGAAUUACUGGGCGUAAAGAGUUCGUAGGCGGUUUGUCGCGUCGUUUGUGAAAACCCGGGGCUCAACUUCGGGCUUGCAGGCGAUACGGGCAGACUUGAGUGUUUCAGGGGAGACUGGAAUUCCUGGUGUAGCGGUGAAAUGCGCAGAUAUCAGGAGGAACACCGGUGGCGAAGGCGGGUCUCUGGGCAACAACUGACGCUGAGGAGCGAAAGCGUGGGGAGCGAACAGG
This 253-nucleotide ribosomal RNA is filed under the name uncultured bacterium. RNAcentral describes it as "partial 16S ribosomal RNA". It matches the Rfam family "Bacterial small subunit ribosomal RNA", at positions 524 to 776 of the family's 1533-position model. The record is from RNAcentral.